RNAcentral lists this ribosomal RNA (374 nucleotides) under uncultured organism. RNAcentral describes it as "partial 16S ribosomal RNA". It matches the Rfam family "Bacterial small subunit ribosomal RNA", at positions 527 to 896 of the family's 1533-position model. The record is from RNAcentral.
GUAGGUGGCAAGCGUUGUCCGGAAUUAUCGGGCGUAAAGCGCGCGCAGGCGGGUCCUUUAAGUCUGAUGUGAAAGCCCACGGGCUCAACCGUGGAGGGUCAUUGGAAACUGGGGGACUUGAGUACAGAAGAGGAAAGCGGAAUUCCAAGUGUAGCGGUGAAAUGCGUAGAGAUUUGGAGGAACACCAGUGGCGAAGGCGGCUUUCUGGUCUGUAACUGACGCUGAGGCGCGAAAGCGUGGGGAGCAAACAGGAUUAGAUACCCUGGUAGUCCACGCCGUAAACGAUGAGUGCUAAGUGUUAGGGGGUUUCCGCCCCUUAGUGCUGCAGCUAACGCAUUAAGCACUCCGCCUGGGGAGUACGGCCGCAAAGGCUG